CCAAUAGCGUAUAUUAAAGUUGUUGCAGUUAAAAAGCUCGUAGUUGAAUUUCGGAAUUUGUCGGUUGGUCGGGCUUCACUGUCCGCACUGGCCUGAUAGAUUCCUACCUUCUGAAUAACCAGCAUGCUAUUAAGUUAGUGCGUUGGGGAAGCAGAGCUAUUACCUUGAAAAAAUUAGAGUGCUUAAAGCAGGCUUACGCUUGAAUAGAUUAGCAUGGAAUAAUAAAAUAGGACGGCAUGGUUCUAUUUUGUUGGUUUCUAGGAUCACCGUAAUGAUUAAUAGGGAUAGUUGGGGGCAUUAGUAUUCAAUUGUCAGAGGUGAAAUUCUUGGAUUUAUUGAAGACUAACUUCUGCGAAAGCAUUUGCCAAGGAUGUUUUCAUUAAUCAAGAACGAAAGUUAGGGGAUCGAAGACGAUCAGAUACCGUCGUAGUCUUAACCAUAAACUAUGCCGACUAGGGAUCGGACGAUGUUAAUUUUUUAAUGACUCGUUCGGCGCCUUACG
RNAcentral lists this ribosomal RNA (502 nucleotides) under uncultured Glomeromycotina. RNAcentral's name for it is "partial small subunit ribosomal RNA". It matches the Rfam family "Eukaryotic small subunit ribosomal RNA", at positions 591 to 1092 of the family's 1831-position model. The record is from RNAcentral. Lineage: Eukaryota; Fungi; Glomeromycota.